AUACUUACCUGGCAGGGGAGAUACCAUGAUCACGAAGGUGGUUUUCCCAGGACAAGGCUUAUCCAUUGCACUCCAGAUGUGCUGACCCCUGCGAUUUCCCCAAAUGUGGGAAACUUGACUGCAUAAUUUGUGGUAGUGGGGGACUGCAUUCGCACUUUCCCCUA
Molecule: small nuclear RNA, 164 nt
Filed under: Saimiri boliviensis boliviensis (Bolivian squirrel monkey)
Lineage: Eukaryota; Metazoa; Chordata; Mammalia; Primates; Cebidae
Description: U1 spliceosomal RNA (ENSSBOG00000015037.1)
Rfam family: U1 spliceosomal RNA
About the family: U1 is a small nuclear RNA (snRNA) component of the spliceosome (involved in pre-mRNA splicing). Its 5' end forms complementary base pairs with the 5' splice junction, thus defining the 5' donor site of an intron. There are significant differences in sequence and secondary structure between metazoan and yeast U1 snRNAs, the latter being much longer (568 nucleotides as compared to 164 nucleotides in human).
Source: Rfam by way of RNAcentral